CCAAGCAGUUUAUGUACUAUAUAUUAUAUAAUUCCCAAAACAAUCCCAUAAUGUAGAUUUUAUUAUCUGCCUUUGUAGAUGGAGGAAACUAGGCAACAGACUAAGUAAACUGUCCAGCUAAUAAGUGGCAAGGACAGAGCCGAACUCUAUUUUUCCUGGUGGUAAGCCCAAUGAGCUUUCUAAGUUCCUUACUGUGAAUCUCCAGCCUUGAUCGCACUGCCAAAGAGAAACCUGCAAAAUGUUCAUCAGAAAUGAGCACAUUGACAAGUUAGCACAUCCUCCUUCUAGCCCUGUCCUUUCAGUCCAUUGAUGUCUACUAGAUUAGGACAGUACAAGGCAAGAUGUAUUCCCUCUUUCUGUAUCUAAUGCCCACUCUUGGAGGCAACGUCACAUACACUCUAGGAGACUGACCAUUCCCCAACAGCCAAGCUGAUGGAGAGCAAGCACUACACCAACUGGUUAGGCAACCCCUCCUCCUCCUAGUAGAAGCAACCUCUCUCUCUCAUGGGUGCCAUACAUAUUUUAUCAUGGCUUAGAUGGACUUUUCUUGCUCUAGCUUAUCUAUUCAUUUGUAUGAUGAUCUAGCAGGUAGAAAGGACUGUCCUUUUCAUCUCUAUUCCUAGAGCAUCUCUAAAACAGGCUUUUUAAAAAUCAUAUUUCUAGUACCUACUCCUUGGAGAUUCUGAUUCAGUAGGAUGAAGGCGGGGCCUGGGUGUUUGCAUUUUUAACAAGUGCAUGAGUAAUUC
This 746-nucleotide long non-coding RNA is filed under the name Homo sapiens (human). RNAcentral's name for it is "HSALNT0168165". The record is from RNAcentral. Lineage: Eukaryota; Metazoa; Chordata; Mammalia; Primates; Hominidae.